AAUUUAUUCAUUCAACAAAUAUUUCUAAGUGUCCAUGGUGACCCAGACAUCAUGGGAACCUUGGGGUACCAGAGUUGAGUAGAACACGACUCCCAUCCUUAGGGAUUCACCAUCCAGUAGAGGAGAAAGACGUCUAGACAGAAGACAAAAGGGAAGGAAAAGCUCGAUGCUGUGCCUUCAGCUCAGCUUCUCCAUUUUUUAGAGAAGGGUUAAUGGGGGAAGCAGAGAGAGAGAUGAGAGAUCAAACUUUCCAGGGCCUUUGUCUCCAGAGCAGAGGGUCUCAAACCUUAGUGAGCAAAAACUGAUCCAGAAGACUUGUUGGAGGCGUAGCUUCCAGUUCAGCAAGCCUAUUUCAGCAGAUUGGAGGUGGGCCCAGGGCUCUGCAUUUUCCCAGCUCUCUGGGGGAUCCAGGUGCAGGUAGUCCGUGAUCACAAGGGGAUGCUACUCUUCCAAAGCGGGCCUGGAAAACCAGAACUGGCAACUUUCUGGCCCCAGAGCUGCCAGCCAUGGGGCAGGUCCACCAGAGACUGAUGGAGGAACGAGGAAGAAGAAAGGGAAAGGAACAGGGAACCUCAGAGAGGAUUAGAGUGGGAAAUGGAAAAAGAGGAAAUCUAAGGUGUGCAAAAGAGAAAAGGGAUGCCUCUCUAAGAAGGCCAGCGAGUAUUAGCGGAGGUGCUAGGGCCGCUCAGGCUGGCUGACGUCCAUGUGUUAGCCAUGAUUUUUGGUCUUUCAAACUUGAGGACCUGCCUAAGCAAGCACAGAGCAAAAAACAGAAAGUUGACUUUGGUAGAUGCUUGGGCAUCAAUAUCACGUGGAACCAGCCUUUUCUUUGAUACCUUUUGCGUUUCUUGCAGAUCCCGUGUCUGCAGCACGUGCUGAUCGCCAAGGGUGAGGCUGGAUGAAGCCAGAGGCUAUGGAAAGGAGACUGUUUCAGAGGACUUGACACCGUCUUCAGUAAUUUCUCUGGUUCUUGGCAGCUCCAUUUGGCUGUGUCCCUACCCUGCACAACCCUCCCAUGCAGUCUACUCCAGGGCAGCGUCCAGCUGGUGACCUGAGAGGGCAGCGGUGCGCCAGUCUCCAUGAAGGUUGAGCUCGGAUGGCCAACAGCAAUUUUCACCCUGUGGUCUACAGCUCUUCAUCCUGACUGCAUGGAGAUUGGUCUCUCUCCUCAGCUGGAUUGAGGCCACCAUCUGAGCCCCCGGGGUACGUUUUGUCUGACCCUGGCACCAUUCGAUUCUUCUACAGCAUCAGGCAUUCACCUGGCUCCUAGGGCUUUUGUGCUGUAGGCCUGUAUUUCCAGCUACUUUUGGAAAAAAUCUCUCUGGAGUCCCAGUGAGCUGGUCACAUCAGCCUGUCCAGAGCAGAGCAAAGUGCAACUGCAGCCAGCUCAUGCCUUCAAGAGAAGGACUGAAGAUCAUGUGUGCCUGAACCAAGAAUAUAGGAUCGACUCAGACAAGGUACCAGUUCUACCUGCACCACGGUCACUUGAGGAUCUUAUCACCACCACACUCACAAGACUACCGGUAACACUUACGUAUUUUUGUUUUUGGUGGCUCCUCUGCUGUGAUGAUAGUCUAGGCCUGUUUCAUUCAUCUCUGUGAAAUCAAUCAGGUGGCUGGAGCUUGUGAAUUACAGCCCACAUUCCCGAUGGAGGAAUUGAGGCUCAUUGCUAUAAUUCGGACGUGUGUCUCCCAAACCUCAUGUUGAAAUUCGAUCCUCAGUGUUAGAGGUGGGGCCUACUGGGAGGGGUUACAGUCACAGGGGUGGGUCCCUCCUGAAUUGACUAAUGCCCCUCAGGAGACAGGGGUAGAGGGGAGUGGGUGAGUUCUUGCUCAGUUAGUCCCCUGUAGAGCUGAUCGUUAAAAAGAGCCUGGCGUCUCCACUCACGUCCUCUCUUGCUUCCUCCUUCUCCGUGUGAUCUCUGCACAGGCAGCCUCGCUUUUUCCUUCCAACAUGAGUGGAAGCAGCCUGAGGCAUCACCAGAAGCAGAUGCUGAUGCCAUGCUUCUUGUACAGCCUGCAGAACAGUACAGCAUCAAAGACCAACACUUGGGAUGGAUUAUGCUGAGACCUGGCAGAAACAAUAAUCAGGGAGCUUGAGACUCUGGAACCGGAAACUGGACACAAUAUUCUGAAUAAUAGAGUUCCAUCACUGAAACAAACAAGAGUUUUUUUUUAGACCAGUGAGCCUCCAAUAAUUUGUGCUGGUUAAAAUACAAACUCCUAGGCCUUCUCCCAACCUACGAAUGCAGAAUUUCCUGGAGGUGGGAUGCAGAAGUCUGUAUUUUUUUUUUUAACAGCUUCACAAGUUAUUCUGAGGCUCUACUAGGUCUGAAAAACACAGUGACCACAUUGAUCAGAUCUCCCACAGAAGAUGCAUCUGAAAGAACCAUGAGACAAUCUCCUCUUUGUUCUGGACUUGCAACUCUUGUAAAUGCAGCCUGAGAUGGUGACACCCCUGCUCCCCAUUUGCCCUCUGCCAUCAGUAAAAGCUUCCUGAGACCUCACCAGAAGCUGGACAGAUGCUGGUGCCGUGCUUGUACAGCCUGCAGAACCAGGAGCCAAAUCAACCUCUUUUCUUUAUAAAUUGCCCAGCCUCAGGGGUUCCUUUACAGCAGUGCAAGAACAGACCAACACAGAAGUGUGUGGAGUGAAACCUAAAGCAGUGUUUCUAAAAGUGAGAUCCUAGGAACAGCACCACCUGUACCACAUGCAUCACCUGGGAAUCUGUUAGAAAAGCAAAGCCUCAGGCUCCAUCCCAGACCACCUCAGGCAGAAGCUCUGGGGGUGGGGUCCAGGAAUCUGGGAUUUAACAAGCUCUCCAGGUGAUGCUGAUGCAUGUUCAGUUUGAAAACAAUGGACCCAGAGAGCCUCUAAAGUGCAACCUGCACUGACAAUUUUAGUCCAAAAUCUUGCAUGGGCAAUUUAAUCUCUAUGUCCUACGGAUUCAGUAAAGUCCCUUUCUGGCAAUCAGAAAGCUCAGUCUCUCUGGAGGCUCUGAUGUGGUUUCAUUUUGAGCCUAAGAUCAAUUGAGAGACCUUACUCUCCAUCAAGACUGACUGGGAGACUCACGUAUGCUGUCCUCAAGCCAAAAGUCAGGAUAGAACUGCUUUCCACUAUUGAUUACAAAAGAAUCAGCCUUCCAGAAGAAAAAUCUACUCUCUUCAUGGAACCUCCUCAUGGCAGAAGCUGCUUGGACACUAUUUUCUCCUGUAGCAGGUAAAAAAUAUGUGCAGGCUUUUCUGGCUUGGAUCGUACAGUCUCUUUAAAGCUAACAGGCUCUGAUUAUUAAAAGAAAAUUGGGAGAUCAUCUAGUCGAAUCCUAUUUUACCAAUUAAGACACGGAGAGGAUGGGAGCUAGUUAAUAAUUUUUCCAUAGUAACAGAGAUAGUAACGCAGUAGGUUUGUAAGAAAACUGAACUCAGACCUUCAGGCUUAUUUCACUGAGCCAUGCUACUUUCGGUGUUCUCAGCAAAGCACGGGAAGUAACAAGUCUUUUAAACCCUAAGACACUGCAACCUUCAUGUGGCUUUUGGUGCCAUCCAUGCACAUUCAGAGAAUUCAGAGUCUACAGAAACAGUGUGGAUUUGGAUUCCUAUUGGCACAAGGAGGCAACUAAGAGGAACAGGGGAGAAGAUGGUUUUUCCAGGAAAAGUUAAUGCUACACAAAUAGCAGAUCUUGCUGUAAAGGUUCUGUCAUGAGCCAGGAGCUUUUUUCCUUCAAAAUAACCCUGUAAGGUGGGCAUAAUUAUCCCAGUUUUACCAGUGAGGAAAUGAUGCACAAAGAGACUGUGCACCCUGAUCGAGCCCAGUGAACAAAGACAGGAUAAAAACACCUAGCUCUGAUUCUCAUGCUUUUCCUGUGACACCACACUGCUUCCUAGUGAGUUGCUUUGAAACCCGCGAUUGAUCUAUUUUAGUCUCUAAAUCAGUGACUCUUAACCUUGACUGCAGGUUAAAAUUGUACAGAUCUUUAAAAAAAAUACUAAUAGCUGCUGCCCUCCCUUCCAUCCCUAUUAAAACAGAACCUCUGGGAGUGGAGCCAGGAUAGUGGCAUUUUUUUUAAAGCUCCCCAGGUAACGUGAAUGUGCAAACAGAGGUGCAAGCCACUUUUACAUGUUCAAUUUGCCUCAAAGUAAUUUAGCUAACCAGGAAUAGAUACUGUUUUUGAAGAUAGUGGUGGUAAUUUAAUGAAGUUACUCAAACUAUGAUUGAAUUAUAUUUAGACACUAGGUAAGAGGGGAAAUGGGGAGGAGAAGGAAGAGUUGACUUUUGUUAACUGGUUUAUUGGGGAACAUGCAUGCAAUAUUUGCUGAUUAUCUGCAAUACAGCUUAUCUGAGGACCAAGCCCCCUGCCUCCACUCGACCCCCAGGAUUCCCUGGGGCACAGUGUUAUUUUGAUGUUGGAGAACUUAUGUAUGUUUAAAAGUAAUUAAAGAAAAUUGAAAGUUAA
Molecule: non-coding RNA, 4452 nt
Organism: Macaca mulatta (Rhesus monkey)
Lineage: Eukaryota; Metazoa; Chordata; Mammalia; Primates; Cercopithecidae
Source: RefSeq, a predicted model, not a curated record